UACGGGAGGCAGCAGUGGGGAAUAUUGCACAAUGGGCGCAAGCCUGAUGCAGCCAUGCCGCGUGCAUGAAGAAGGCCUUCGGGUUGUAAAGUACUUUCAGUCGUGAGGAAGGUGUUAAGGUUAAUAACCUUAGCAAUUGACGUUAGCGACAGAAGAAGCACCGGCUAACUCCGUGCCAGCAGCCGCGGUAAUACGGAGGGUGCGAGCGUUAAUCGGAAUUACUGGGCGUAAAGGGCACGCAGGCGGUUAAUUAAGUUGGAUGUGAAAUCCCCGGGCUUAACCUGGGAAUGGCAUUCAAGACUGGUUAGCUAGAGUCUUGUAGAGGGGGUAGAAUUCCAUGUGUAGCGGUGAAAUGCGUAGAGAUGUGGAGGAAUACCGGUGGCGAAGGCGGCCCCUGGGACAAAGACUGACGCUCAUGUGCGAAAGCGUGGGGAGCAAACAGGAUUAGAUACC
This 453-nucleotide ribosomal RNA is filed under the name uncultured bacterium. Its description in RNAcentral is "bacterial SSU rRNA". It matches the Rfam family "Bacterial small subunit ribosomal RNA", at positions 340 to 786 of the family's 1533-position model. The record is from RNAcentral.